This 741-nucleotide small RNA is filed under the name Arabidopsis thaliana (thale cress). RNAcentral describes it as "ATSL040480". The record is from RNAcentral. Lineage: Eukaryota; Viridiplantae; Streptophyta; Magnoliopsida; Brassicales; Brassicaceae.
AUUUUUGUUUUUUUUGUUUUUCUAUGCCUUAGAUGAAUGCUGACUCAAGAGUAUAAACAAUGCAACACACACUUCCUGAGCCUUCCCCCAAACUUAAAUCACAUAGUCCACUGUGUGACUAAACUUGGAAGAGAGUAUACAAGACAAAUCCAAUCACAUAAACAAAAUAAAGAACAAAUCACAAGAGAUGAUAUAGUACAAUAGUGAAGUGAGGUGCUUACCUCUGUCGAAGAAUGAACGGAGUUGGUCGUCAAUGGCUGCCUAUGAUUGCUCCCAGGCCAUAGACGAGCCGCCCUGUUCUGUGUCAGCUCCACCAUGUGGGUACUCAACCUCAUCAGCUCUGUGGCGGCCAGCACCGCUUUGAAGAUACUCGACCUCUCUUCUUCUACUACAACCAGCAUCGCGGUCACGUAAACUACGAGACUGCAAAAGUCGUCUGCUCCUGCUGCUAGAUCGAGUGAGUGUGGUUCUCCUCUUUCUCCCAGAUUCACGAGACUCAAAUGAUGAAUGCCUCGCUAGGACAUGCGGAAUCUCUCGCAGGGAUAAACUCCCUUUAAGACUAUGUAUCUUCUGUUGGUCGAGUAAAAUGAUGAUUUAAAUUUUUUUGGGUUUUAAACAUCACUCAUACUCGACCGAUAUACUCGAGUGCAAGGUCUCCAGGUGCAACAGAAAGUUUUAAAAUUUUUUCACUCCUCUGUACUUUGUACUCGAUCUCUAUGCCAUCUGUAGAGAAAAAGUUUU